UUUGCAGUCACAGGACACUCCCAACCCAAUGUGAACGUUACCAAACUGUUGCCUCGGCGGGGUCACGCCCCGGGUGCGUCGCAGCCCCGGAACCAGGCGCCCGCCGGAGGAACCAACCAAACUCUUUCUGUAGUCCCCUCGCGGACGUAUUUCUUACAGCUCUGAGCAAAAAUUCAAAAUGAAUCAAAACUUUCAACAACGGAUCUCUUGGUUCUGGCAUCGAUGAAGAACGCAGCGAAAUGCGAUAAGUAAUGUGAAUUGCAGAAUUCAGUGAAUCAUCGAAUCUUUGAACGCACAUUGCGCCCGCCAGUAUUCUGGCGGGCAUGCCUGUCCGAGCGUCAUUUCAACCCUCGAACCCCUCCGGGGGAUCGGCGUUGGGGAUCGGGACCCCUCACACGGGUGCCGGCCCCUAAAUACAGUGGCGGUCUCGCCGCAGCCUCUCCUGCGCAGUAGUUUGCACAACUCGCACCGGGAGCGCGGCGCGUCCACGUCCGUAAAACACCCAACUUUCUGAAAUGUUGACCUCGGAUCAGGUAGGAAUACCCGCUGAACUUAAGCAUAUCUAGAGGGGGGAAAGGGAA
Molecule: ribosomal RNA, 581 nt
Filed under: Trichoderma asperellum
Lineage: Eukaryota; Fungi; Ascomycota; Sordariomycetes; Hypocreales; Hypocreaceae
Description: eukaryotic LSU rRNA
Rfam family: 5.8S ribosomal RNA (bases 188-341)
Source: RNAcentral